UGAAAAGCCCAAAAAUGUCUUUGACAAAUUAAUCUAGCAUUGGUGUCGGGAACUAUAGGCCAUUUUUUAACUUAUAAUCUUUACAGAGGUCUUUAUAUAAUUAUUUAAAUGGUAUUGAGACUUGACCACCCUUCUGAAAGGACAACAGUUCAGCCUCAGGCCAACCUGAUUACAAAAUAUAGAGGCCCUAUAUUAUGGAACUAUCGAAACCACAAGACAACAGCAAUACAAAACAAAGCCGAUAACACUAUGACCAAAACUAGGCUGUUAAAGGGGUUCAUUAUUAUCACACGUUAUCAUUCAACCAACAAAGAUCACUGCAAAAAUAGCCUACAACAACGACAAGUAAAUUUAAGUAACUUAACGUGAAAGAAAUUCAGAAAAAGGAAAAUAUCCAAGCAACAGCUUUAGUCUCUCUCCCGGCUGCAGGUGAAGUACUGAGAGUAAGUGCUGGUGUACAUCGUCUGGUUGUCCACCCUGACUACAUUCCUGAGGUUCUGCCAAAACCAGGGCUCAGCGGCCGCAGUCCUGGGCCACUCCACAACACUCUCCCCGCACAGCCUCCUCCUCAGACGCAGGAAGUGGGAGUUCUGCAGGACAGGCUCCAACAUCAGCACCACGAUCACGUCCAGGUUCUCAUCCAGCAGCCGCUGGUGGGCCAGGUACAAGGCCAAGCGGAACAACCCUGUCUUGGCGUACGCCUUGGUCAGCACAAACAGGGUCUUGCGGCUGUAGCGAAUGCUCUGGGUGAGGUUGUCGAUCACCGGGACGCCGAGGGGCCAGUCCCGCUCCUCUAGACACAAGGGCAACACCUUCUCCCCCUCCACCUCCAGCUUCACCCUCAGCGUCUCCAGCACCCACUCCGAGACCCAGGGGUCUUUGGUGUCAUAGGUCACGAAGACGUUGUACAUAUUGUCUGGCGAGGCCGAAGAGCGAUAGCCCUUCCAUUUGGCCUUCAGGUAAUACAGGACGUAGGAGGCCGUCCCAGUAGAAGAUGUGUGCCACCGUUGCCAUAACGUGGUGAAAAAGAGGAAGGUAGUUGUGAGAACUGAGAUCAGCAGUGCCAGACUGUUGUUGACACACUGGUCAAACUCAAAGUAAAUCAUCACCUGAGGGAUGGCCGUAGGAUACGAAGCAGUAGA
RNAcentral lists this long non-coding RNA (1142 nucleotides) under Gadus morhua (Atlantic cod). RNAcentral's name for it is "lncRNA (ENSGMOG00000033020.1)". Lineage: Eukaryota; Metazoa; Chordata; Actinopteri; Gadiformes; Gadidae. The record is from RNAcentral.